CAAAUUAAAUGAUGACAGAUGAUUUAGAGACACUUUUACCCUACAAAAAACCAAAAAACAAAAAAACCCACCCCCAAAGUUCAUUUAUACUGGACAAUUUUGGAGAACUACAAAGUUUUUUUAAAAAUUUAUUUUAACUGAAGGGUAAUUGCUUUACAGUAUUGUGUUGGUUUCUACCAAACAUCAACGUGAAUCUCCAAAGGUCAACUUGAAUGCUGAUGGGUUUACCUACGUCCCCUCCCACCUCCCUCCCCAUCCCACCCCUCUAGGUUCUUAAGUUUUCGUUCCCUGAGUCAUACAGCAAAUUCCCAUUGGCUAUCUAGUUUACAUAUGGCAGUGAUGUUUUCAUAUUACUCUCUCCAUAUGCACCCCCCACUUCCUCCCCACAAAGCUGUGUUAGUAAGUCUCUUAGAGAACUACAAAGUUUUUAUACUUGCUGCACAUUGGAAAGAAAAUGUCAACAACUAGUUUCUUUUGUACCAUAUCUAUACACAGGAAAAAAAAAAAACUUGUUAAAAGGAAAAGAGGUUUCUGUAUUGUUAAUAUUUGACAGUUAAAGGGUUCCUUUUAAAUAUUUAACUUAAGGUUAAAUAUCCAUCUCUUACAGUUAUUAGACACAUCUUCAUAUCAAGGGUAAUAUACAAAGCACAGCAAUGUAACUCAAGUAUACUUCUUUAAAAACUUGGAAAAAUAUACUAAGAAUAUAUGAUUUAUAAUUUAAAAAAUUUAGAAAAGUGUGGGUAAACAAAGCUGAUGCAGUCAUUUGAAGGGUCCAGAUGAAACACCAUGGACUCAACAAUCUGGUACAGUCCACAUACAAACUUUCUUCUGCUGUUAAUGAUGAAGUCAAGCUGAAGGACAGAAAUUUGUACUCUGGAUGCUCCAGGCUCUUCCAUGCAACUGACUGGUCUUCUCUUGUUUUUUUCCAUCAUGUUUUAAAUAAAAGUAAAUAUAUAUAUAUUUUACAUAUAUUUUAUGUAAAAAAUUUAAUUGGUACAAGAAGAUUUAAAAUAAUCAGUAAAUAUCCUUUUCGCCCAUAACCUAGAAAAUCUGAUGUCUUCCAAAUCAUCAGUUACAUGAAUAAUUUGCAAAGUGAAGUCAACCUUAGAGUCUCUUCAUCUGAAAAUUAUUCUCAGGAUUUCUGGAAUGUGUUGAUUCUCUCAUAUAUUACCUCUGUUACAGAGGAAAGCCAUGCAGUUUUCUAAAAAAAAACUACGAAAGCAACUCACUCGCUCUGCUCCGAGACAGCAAGUCCAGGCAACACCUUGUACUCCGUGGAUCUGGUCCUGGCUACAGGCAGAGGCUCUGGUAUCAACCAGAGACUCAGGGCGGGUGCCAGAGCUCGGCCCAGCCUUUCUGAAUGCCUCGGAUCCUCCGGGCCAGCUGCACAUCCUUCGGGAAGAGUGUGAUGCGGCCGGCGUGUAAGGAGAGCAGAUAGGCAUCCUCGAAGAAAUGAACUAGAAACGCUUCUGCCGCCUCUUGUAGGGCCAACAGGGCCUGGGCUUGCCAACUGAAGUCCACACCGCGAAUGAACUGAACACAGAUUUCUCUUGCCAGGCGGCAGAAGGGGGACUUUCUUAACAGCAGGUGUGUGGUCUUCUGAAGAGCUCGGCCCUCCUUCAGGAUUCCAUGUCUCCGGCGAGCAAGCGGACAGAGGACGGGCCAGCCGGCGGGCCUUGGAGCCGGGCUCGCGGGGCCCCCGCCUCCUUGGUGUUUCAGGCUUGCGGCCCCGUGGCUCCUAGAUCUUCUGGGUCCGGGGGCAGAGGCGGGGAGGGCCAGGGUGCUGUUCCAAUUCCUGAUAAAACUUUAAACAUAAAACAUACCUUCCUUUUUAUUUCACAGGUAGUAUCUCUGUCAAAGGCAGGAUGAGUAAAACAAACUUCUACAUUUAAGGUUAUCUUUGAAAUAUUUAUGAGUAUGCUCAAGGAUAAAAAGGCUUUGACUGCUUGCUGCUAAAACAAUCAGUGAAGCUGAUUUUCUUCUAGAAUAUUAUUUAGUAUUACCCUUGUUUUGUUAUGUUAUUAUAGAAUAUUAUACAAUUCUUCUUCAAUAAAAUAAAGAAAACUAUUUUGUUAUUGCCUAGA
RNAcentral lists this long non-coding RNA (2084 nucleotides) under Bos indicus x Bos taurus (hybrid cattle). RNAcentral's name for it is "lncRNA (ENSBIXG00005022602.1)". The record is from RNAcentral. Lineage: Eukaryota; Metazoa; Chordata; Mammalia; Artiodactyla; Bovidae.